RNAcentral lists this ribosomal RNA (456 nucleotides) under uncultured bacterium. Its description in RNAcentral is "bacterial SSU rRNA". It matches the Rfam family "Bacterial small subunit ribosomal RNA", at positions 335 to 787 of the family's 1533-position model. The record is from RNAcentral.
ACUCCUACGGGAGGCAGCAGUGAGGAAUAUUGGACAAUGGGCGCAAGCCUGAUCCAGCCAUGCCGCGUGCAGGAAGACUGCCCUAUGGGUUGUAAACUGCUUUUAUACGGGAAGAAACACUCCCUCGUGAGGAGCUUCUGACGGUACCGUAAGAAUAAGGAUCGGCUAACUCCGUGCCAGCAGCCGCGGUAAUACGGAGGAUCCAAGCGUUAUCCGGAAUCAUUGGGUUUAAAGGGUCCGUAGGUGGAUAAUUAAGUCAGAGGUGAAAUCCUGCAGCUCAACUGUAGAAUUGCCUUUGAUACUGGUUGUCUUGAGUUAUUAUGAAGUGGUUAGAAUAUGUAGUGUAGCGGUGAAAUGCAUAGAUAUUACAUAGAAUACCAAUUGCGAAGGCAGAUCACUAAUAAUAUACUGACACUGAUGGACGAAAGCGUGGGUAGCGAACAGGAUUAGAUACCC